GACGAACGCUGGCGGCGUGCUUAACACAUGCAAGUCACGGGGGGUCUCGGGGCAACUCGGGGAUAACCGGCGAACGGGUGCGUAACACGUAAGCGACCUGCCGAUUCGCGGGGGAUAGCCGGCCCAACGGCCGGGUAAUACCGCAUACGCUUGCUGGGUUUCAUGGCCGGGCAAGGAAACCGUCCGGGGGAACCGGGGAGGGGCGGAUCGGAGGGGCUUGGCGGCCUAUCAGCUAGUUGGUGAGGUAAC
RNAcentral lists this ribosomal RNA (249 nucleotides) under uncultured bacterium. Its description in RNAcentral is "partial 16S ribosomal RNA". It matches the Rfam family "Bacterial small subunit ribosomal RNA", at positions 28 to 261 of the family's 1533-position model. The record is from RNAcentral.